UACGUAGGUGGCAAGCGUUGUCCGGAUUUAUUGGGCGUAAAGCGCGCGCAGGCGGUUCGUUAAGUUCGAGGUGAAAUCUCCUGGCUCAACUGGGAGGGGUCUUCGGAUACUGGCGGACUUGAGGAGAGCAGAGGUGAGUGGAAUUCUCGGUGUAGUGGUGAAAUGCGUAGAUAUCGAGAGGAACACCAGCGGCGAAGGCGGCUCACUGGGCUACACCUGACGCUGAGGCGCGAAAGCGUGGGGAGCGAACCGG
RNAcentral lists this ribosomal RNA (253 nucleotides) under uncultured bacterium. Its description in RNAcentral is "partial 16S ribosomal RNA". It matches the Rfam family "Bacterial small subunit ribosomal RNA", at positions 524 to 776 of the family's 1533-position model. The record is from RNAcentral.